Molecule: non-coding RNA, 76 nt
Organism: Phthorimaea operculella (potato tuberworm)
Lineage: Eukaryota; Metazoa; Arthropoda; Insecta; Lepidoptera; Gelechiidae
Source: the annotation of a GenBank genome assembly
ACCGCGGUAGCCCAGUUGGUAGUGGCGUCGGCAGUACAGAUAGCGAAGGUCGCUGGUUCAAAUUUAGCCUGCGGUG